CUGCGCACCGGCCGGACAGACGCCCCUGCCGUCGCCGCGCCAGGAAGCCGCCCAAGGCCGUCCGCGCCGAUCCCGCACGCCCGGCCGCCUCAUGCCCGCACCCCGACGCGACUCCGCGCCUUCUCCCUCUCUUCUGGGUCGCCGUCGGCCAACUCCUGUCUGCGCCGGCCGCCUCCCUCUGCUCCCACCGGACCGCGCACCUGCGCCGUCUCCUCCAGCCGCCGGUGCCGCGCGCGCCCUGUCCUGUCACGCCCGCACCGCCGGACCCCCUCCCGUUGCGCCUGCACCGCCGUAUCUGUCUCCCUCCGCGCCAGCGCCGCCGGAUCCGUCCCGGCCCGCUUCUCCCCCUUCUCCAUCGGCCGGCGUCCAGCCGGCCUCCUCCCCUCGCUCACGUCGGCCGCUGGUUCCCAACUGCCCUUCUCCCUACCACGAGCACUCCCCGCUGCGGCCUCCUCUUCACUUGCGGUCCGGCGCUGUCGGCCCCAUCUCCCAGCCAUGCCGCCCGACUCGUUCCUACUGGCAGCGUGCGCCCUUCUGGACGGCCCUCCUCGCUACUCGCGCAGCUGCGCUUCUACCAGUCUUGUCCCCACCCACACCGAUUCCAUGGCGUCACCCCCGCCGUACAUGAGCUUUACCUCGCCCGUCGCUCCUGUGACUGUGCGUGCCCUCCUCUACAACGGCCAGCUCAUCCGGGGCAUAACGGCGACCGGGGACCCCCCCCUCCCGAACGGCGCGGGUGGCGAGCAGAACAACAAGAGGCGGAGCCGACUCUCUGGCCUCCGCUCCCUACCAAGCAUCGCCGCAGCCCGCAUACUCUGGCAGACGUCGCAGCGCCUGUGUGAUCCUUGGCCGGAGUCCUUGACCAGCAUCGUCCUCUCGUUGUCGAAGUUGAGCGCGAUGGGCUUGAUGGCGGUGUUCUACUCCCAAGACCCCCUACGCAGCGUUGUGGGGUCAGCUACGCCUUCGGGGAGCGGGAUGGAGAGUGCGACGGGGACGGCAACCGGAAGGCCCCUCCAUCGUCGUUCAUGGCCGGAGAUCUACUGA
This 1044-nucleotide unclassified non-coding RNA is filed under the name Zea mays. RNAcentral describes it as "misc RNA Zm00001eb341020". Lineage: Eukaryota; Viridiplantae; Streptophyta; Magnoliopsida; Poales; Poaceae. The record is from RNAcentral.